This is an RNA transcript of Juglans microcarpa x Juglans regia, 600 nucleotides long. It is a transcript of the gene named 40S ribosomal protein S28, with no coding region annotated. The transcript has 3 exons. Lineage: Eukaryota; Viridiplantae; Streptophyta; Magnoliopsida; Fagales; Juglandaceae. The record is from RefSeq and is a predicted model, not a curated record.
AGGGCGUUAAUAAAAACUGAAAAAUAAGAAGGUCAUCACCACAUUGAGACUUUAAACCCUAGCCGCCGUCACACCCUCCAUUCUCUACUUUAAAACCCUAACCCUCCUUCCAUCUUCUCGCUAUACCUCUCUCUAAAAUUCGAGAUCAUCCGCCGUUGCUUAGCACAGGAUGGAAUCUCAAGUGAAGCAUGCCGUGGUGGUGAAAGUAAUGGGUCGGACCGGAUCGAGAGGACAGGUGACUCAGGUGAGAGUCAAGUUUCUGGACGAUCAGAACCGGUUCAUCAUGAGGAAUGUCAAGGGACCUGUGAGGGAAGGCGACAUCCUAACCUUACUCGAGUCUGAAAGAGAAGCAAGAAGGUUGCGUUAAUUGGCUGCUCGUUGCUCCCCUGCUUCUCAAGUUCUUGCUGGUUUCUUCUUGUGGUUAGUCAAUGGCACUUUAAGUACUGUUGGUUUAAUGAAGUUUGAUUUUACAAUACAUGAGAGUUGAUGUCAUUGGCCGGAGUCCACUGGCGCAUGUUUCAGUAGGUUGGAUAGGCAAUACAAAGCCACACUUCAAUGAUAAUUUAUGAGAUGAUGAAAUAAAUAAACACGAACUUUUGA